RNAcentral lists this small RNA (28 nucleotides) under Bombyx mori (domestic silkworm). Its description in RNAcentral is "ovarian small RNA-24242". Lineage: Eukaryota; Metazoa; Arthropoda; Insecta; Lepidoptera; Bombycidae. The record is from RNAcentral.
UAUUGCUUAAUUGGGUGUACGUGCCCUC